Molecule: ribosomal RNA, 459 nt
Filed under: uncultured bacterium
Lineage: Bacteria
Description: partial 16S ribosomal RNA
Rfam family: Bacterial small subunit ribosomal RNA
Source: RNAcentral
CUACGGGACGCUCCAGUGAGGAAUAUUGGCCAAUGGUCGCAAGACUGAACCAGCCAUGCCGCGUGCAGGAAGACGGUCCUAUGGAUUGUAAACUGCUUUUAUACAGGAAGAAACCCUCCCACGUGUGGGAGCUUGACGGUACUGUAGGAAUAAGGAUCGGCUAACUCCGUGCCAGCAGCCGCGGUAAUACGGAGGAUCCAAGCGUUAUCCGGAAUCAUUGGGUUUAAAGGGUCCGUAGGCGGCCUUAUAAGUCAGUGGUGAAAGCCCAUCGCUCAACGAUGGAACUGCCAUUGAUACUGUAAGGCUUGAAUUUUUGUGAAGUAACUAGAAUAUGUAGUGUAGCGGUGAAAUGCUUAGAUAUUACAUGGAAUACCAAUUGCGAAGGCAGGUUACUAACAAACGAUUGACGCUGAUGGACGAAAGCGUGGGGAGCGAACAGGAUUAGAUACCCGGGUAGUC